RNAcentral lists this long non-coding RNA (4992 nucleotides) under Eucalyptus grandis. Its description in RNAcentral is "long non-coding RNA (EGRA_LNC007461)". The record is from RNAcentral. Lineage: Eukaryota; Viridiplantae; Streptophyta; Magnoliopsida; Myrtales; Myrtaceae.
UAUUAUUGACACCUAAAUUUUACUUUUUAUUUAGGACUUCAUCGUAUACAAAAUUAGAAAUUAGUCACUAAAAGAAAACAAAAACAAAAACAACAAAAAAAAAAAGAAAAAGAAAACAUGGAAGAGGCCGGGCCGGAUCUCACCUUGGCCCCGCCCAUGCCGGCUUCCUCUUCACGCUGAAACCCGAGCAGAGAGAGGAGAGCAGAAGAGAGAGGAGGGAGUUCGAGGGAAGAACGGAGACCGCAGAGAAAAUAGAGACCGAGAGGGAAAAUAAGAAAAAACAGGAGAAAACCAGAGAGAGAGAGAGAGAAAAACCGAGGGAGGGGGCCAGGAUUCGAGGAGGGAGGCGCCGUCGUCAACGUCGCCCGACGCCGUCCGAGCCGCCGCCCUCCGAGCCCGAAGCCAUUCGAGCCGCCGCCGUCCGAGCCCCUGCACUCGACGCCGCUGCUGCCGAUGCCAGCAACCGCAGCACCCGCCGCAGCACCCGCCGCCGCUACUCCCGACGCCGGGCCAGCUGAGACCAGAGGGAGCGGGAGGACGAACUCGAAGGCUCUCAGAUCCGAAGAUCCGAGGCAGGGGGUCGGCCAAAGGCCCAGAUCUGAUCGUGCUUGAUCAGAUCUGGGAGUAGAUCGAGCUCCGCCGCAUCACCAGGCCGGCCGCCGCCGCCGCCGCCGCCGUUCAGUCAUCGACGACACUGCCAGGCCACACCUUUCCAGAACCGCCGCUGCUUACCGAGCCGCCGCCCUCCGACCUCGACUGCGGCAACGCCUGGGCCCGACGCCGUCGCUGCCCAUCCUCCCGUCGGAGCCGCGACGUCGCUGCGGCCACCGUCUCCGCCCUCGCCUGCCUCUUCACCCGAGCCGCGAAGCCGCUGCAGCCCGUGCCGUCGAACGCCGGCCACCGCCUCCCGUUCCCCGCGACGCUGCAGCAACCCGCGAGCUCGCUUGCUGCGCCUCCACCCUCAGCCCGUCCAUCUGCAACUCCCCUGCCGAGCCGCUCCGCCAAGAAACCCUAGGUUUCGGCCAAGAACCGGGUCGGGCGCGGAUCUCAAUCGGGUAAGGUUUUCCGUCCGCAUGGGCUUAUCACGGUGGGCCAUCUAAUUUUGGGCUUGGGCUGGUUUAGUAUGGGCUUGUGGGCCUGCUUUGUUUUAAAAAGAGAGGAGAGGGUAAUUCUUGGGCUGGGCCCAUGCUUCGGGCCCGCCGGGCCGAACCCGGAGACCGGACCCGGCCCAUGCCGACCGGGCUAAACCCGGGUGAGGUUGGACCGGACCGGACCCGAUUCGCCCAAAAAAUAAAAUAAAAAAUUAAUUUUUUUUUCGAAAAAAAUUUAAAAGAAUUUUAAAAAAAAUUUAAAAAAUUGAAAAAAUUUCGAAAAUCCAAAAAUGUAGGUUUUAAUUAGGCAUGGCCAUGUAUUGCCUUUAUAGUGUAAUUAGGCAUUUAUUUGCCUGUAUAUUAAUUAUAUUGUAUGAUUAAUUUACUUGUUUAAUUAUGUUUACAAUUGCUUAGUGGCAUGUGUUAAUUUUACUGCAAUUAUGAUCUUAAUAAUAAUUGUUACUUUAAUGAUUGCGCAUCUGCAUGAUCAUCUCAUAUAUUAGUGGAUAUGUAUAAAUUCUAUUUAAAAUGAACAAGAUUAGGUACCGAAAAUGCAUUAAUUGAUUAAUUAAUGUAAUCAAGUCCUCGAUCAUAUUCUCUAGUUGUGUAGGAAGUGAGAUAUAUUUCCAUACAUCACUUGGAUCCAAGUUAGUGACGACUCCUUAUUGUAAAAAUCUUUAAAAAUACUUCAAUGUCACGCGAUAUAUGGACUUGGGAAAUUCCGUGCCUAAUCAUGACUAUAAGUCCGUCCUUUAGGCAAUACCUCCCCCCGAGGGUAGGUCGCGACACUUAUUUUAGGGAUCAACCUCGUGGCCGAAUGUUUUUCGGUACAUCAGUUUCAGCAAUGUGGAAUGUUGGAAGCCUAGUCUACCGAAAAAAUACCAUUCAAACGGGAAUAGGCAAGAUCGAUAUUGGAGAAAAUGUCAUUGGAUUCAAUGAAAUGAGAGUUGGCUCAGCUAGCUAUGUGUUUCAAGUGAUUCUUGGUGCCUGUGGCUCAAACUCUGUAUGUGCAAGGUAGGUGUGUACUUUGUGCAGCUACAGCAUCUCUUUGUUUAUAGAAGAAGCAUUAGGACGGGAAUGCUUGGCUAUUGGUCAAGACAACUUCCAAAAACAUCUAAAUCAUGGAAUUCAAGGAAUCUCGAUGCAAUUGGAAGCACCCGGAGCACACAAAACAGAUGCAGCCCUGCAAUCGUCGAGUGGUAAAGCUUCCAUCCAAAAGUUAAACUUUUGCUAGACUGGGUAGCAUCCCGUCUAAACGAGUCCACUAUUUAUUCAAUUACUGAAACUCGACUAUUGACAUAAAAAUUAGCUGCUUUAUUAAUUCCUAUUACAUUAGAAAACAAAUACUUCUCUAUGAGCUUAAGGGGGUACAAAAUGACGUUGACACGUGAUGUCUCCUAGCUUUAUAGCUCGAACGUCAGCACAAUAAAAAGAUAUGUAAAUGAUAGCACAACAUUACAACAUGCCCUGGUCAAGAGAUGUGUUGAAUCAUCAUCCAUGUUACUUUCGAGCGUGACUUUUCAUUAUUACUUGAGGCAAUCCACACCCGCACCUGCCCAUGGGUUGGGUAAUUGGGGAAAUGCGAGUCUAUCACUCGGAUAAUAUAAGCUCUGAACUUCUGCCCAAGAUGGGAAUGUAACACUUGGUUUCCUAGUGCGAUAAUAGAUUCUUGCUCCGACUGUGUUGCUUAAAUGACAUAGAUCACAUUAAGGAAACCCAAUCUGACUAUCAUUAACUCAUAUCUAUUUAUAAUUGACUUGACUCAUGACGACAACAAAGGUGAAUAACACCUUCAUCACCUUUUUUACUAGAUAGAGCCGAAUGAUGCCAACGGUCCAAUGGGCUUUCCACGGUGAUAUCCAAUUGGACCUUUUGGCCUAAUUCUAGCCUGUUAAACCUAAUUUCUCGGCCCAUCAAGAUAAUCAAGAGAAAGGAAGAAGGCCAAUGCAAGCUCGGCUUCGCACUCGAGACCGGCACCCUCGCCACCCGGCAGCCUUCUAUCUUGUCUCUUCCCCAACCGUCACUUUCUUAUUUUGUUUUCUUUCAUUUUUAUUUGGAAAAUGAUUGACGAACGGUGCUGUCUUUUUAUGGAGAUUGACGGUCUACCUCUCGACCACAAAAGCAUUUCCUGGGAAUAGGAUUACUUUUUCAUCCGAUUUCCACUGAAGUGGCGUUCUUUAAAAUAACGUUUUAAGGAUUAUUUACCCAAUAUUAGGCAUAAUUAAACGAAAAGAAAAGAAAAAUUACUAGAUUAUAGCCAAUCAUCUUGUGAGUCAAAAAAUAUAUUAUUUUUGCUUAAUAAUUGUUAGAUUAGAAUACUCGAGGUUUAUCUCAUUAUUCUUAAAUCAUUAUAAUGGGGAAAAUUGUCAAAAGUUUUCUCAAUUUAUUACACUUUUGCUAAUUUAGACAUUUCAGUUUUGCAAACUAAAUUUUGAACAUUUUAAUAUUUUAUCAAUUGAAUUUAUUCAGUCAAUUUUAAUUAAGAAUCACUAAUGCGGAUGCCUUUCGUUAUACGUGGCAAGUCCAAUUCUGACGUGAAUAAUUUUCAAUAAUAUUUUAAUAUUAUUUUCACAUUUUUUAAUACUUUUUUGAUUUUUUUUUUCCCCUUUAUUCUUCUUCCUUUUAUCGGUGAUCGUCCACAAAUGAUGGCUAGGUGGGCUGGCCUCGCUUGGUCAAUGGUUGCCGUCACUCAUGAGUAGUUAAGCGGCUUCGCCAGGUGUCACCUUGCCUAGGUGAUGCGCUGGCCUUGCUUAGGCUUGAUUUGGCAAGGCCACCUUGGCCUGAGUGAGGGCCAACUUUGCCGAGAAAAUAUUGGGUGGGUUUAACCCAACACGUAGGCGGUGGGUUAAACCAUUCAGCGGUCGACACGUGGCGCCACGUAAGCGAGGGCGUCAGGGUUCAAAAUUCGCGCGGGCCGCGUGGGGCCCACCACUCUGACGCUCCCUGCUCUGCGACGCCUGCGCCCCCUGUCGAAUCGUCCUCUCUCUCCUCUCUCUCUCUCCCCCUUCUCCGUUCCGUUCCGUUGCGUGUAGGGGAGAACAAAAAAGUCGCAUCUCUCUCUCCAUUCUCGCGCACAGCUGCUUCUCUUCCCCUCCUCUGCUCUCUCUCUCCAUUCUCGCCGACGAGCCCUCUCUCUCCAUUCUCGACUCCGACGCCCCCUCAAGCCGGUUGCCUCCGUCGCCCCCGACUCCGACGCCGUCGACGCCGCCUCCGCCUCCGCCCCCGACGCCCUCUCGCGACGCCGACGCUCCUCAAGGCGGUUGCCUCCGACGCCGCCUCCGCCUCCGCCUCCGCCCCGACGCCCUCUCGCGACUCCGUUGCCCCCGACUUCGACGCCGACGCCCACCUCCGCCUCCGCCUCCGCCUCGGCCGACGCCCUUUCCACCUCCGCCGAAACCUCGACCGAUCGUUCGGCUACGGACUCUGCUCAUAUCUCAUAGCGUCCUCGUCAGGUCGAUGUUUGCCGCACCGCCGUUCACCAGAUGAGCGGUCACCAGGUCUCUCUCCGUCCCCCCCGUCCCGCUAAUCUAGCUCCUUUACGUCUCUUCUCGUUUUUUUGGUCCGUGUCUAUCCGUGUCUUUAUCUCCAGCCGAUGGCGUUGGAGGAGAGAUUCUAGUUUCUCUGGCUUUGCUUUAGUGUUCCUUGAUUCUGUUGGGGACGCCCGUUUUCGAGAACGGGUUGCCUUUGUAAGUGAACCGUAGUUGAGAAGUUUAAACUAGUUGAACUUGAAGAUUUGUAGCGGAGUUCUGAAUUUGGCCAUCGUGUGUUCGAUUAGAAAUAGGUUAUUGACCACGAUGAUGGGAUGCCUCGAGUAAGGAUAAAAUGUAACGUGGCACCUUUUUGGAUCAUUGGUAACUUGAUACUCUAAACGUCUUUCGGUUGUAAAUCCAUCUAUACCGUU